Molecule: ribosomal RNA, 363 nt
Filed under: Triticum aestivum (bread wheat)
Lineage: Eukaryota; Viridiplantae; Streptophyta; Magnoliopsida; Poales; Poaceae
Description: partial small subunit ribosomal RNA
Source: RNAcentral
AUGACAACUUUAGUCGUGGAGGAACAACUUCCUCUUUGGAUGUCGAGUUUCGGUUUUCCGAGGUUUUUUCAUAUGACAAUUCUAAUUGUAAAAAAUGUCAAAUUUUGUGCCACACCUGUGGCAUUUAUCAUUAGGGAAAAAAGUGACGGACUUGACAAAUGCGUCAACUUGAAGAAAGCAGAACCUGCGGAAAACAAGGUGAGCACCAAAACCAAGACAAGGACGAACCUUGUGCAGUUUAUCGUGAAACGGGGUACAAAACGAAGGGCGAAUAUUAUACUACCAUUCAUUAUUCUUACCAAAAUACCCACUUGGUCAGUACGGCCUGAUUCAAAAAAAGAUUAUCACGAACACAGACGGUAG